Molecule: non-coding RNA, 181 nt
Filed under: Planctomycetota bacterium
Lineage: Bacteria; Pseudomonadati; Planctomycetota
Description: 6S RNA
Rfam family: 6S / SsrS RNA
About the family: E. coli 6S RNA was the first non coding RNA to be sequenced, but its function was unknown until recently.
Source: RNAcentral
AAGUGACUGCGGUGUACGACAGGGAGACCAAUUUGCCGAACCGAUAACGAACCCAUGGGAGGCGCGUACCUGGUCUGUUAGGACGAGCCCGCUUCGACGGGAUGUCCGAUCGCAGCCGGCAGCCACCCACCUUGUGAAAGGGUUCGCAGAUCUCUCCCAUCGGCAGUGUUGCGGUUUCUUC